GCUUAUAAUCUAGCCCCACCUCACCUAUGACCCCUCUCACUCACCGAGUUAACUGACCAAAACAUUUUUAAAUUCAAGUAAAGGAGAUUAAAAAACUCUAUGGAGCAAUAAGAAUAGUACCGCAAGGGAAAGAUGAAAUAAUAAUGAAAUAAACUUUAAGCACAAAAAAGUAGAGAUAAUCCCUCGUACCUUUUGCAUCAUGGUCUAACUAGUCUAAUCAAGCAAAAAGCAUUUUAGUUUGACCCCCCGAAACUAAGCGAGCUACUUCAGGGCAGCUUUAUGAGCUAACCCGUCUCUGUCGCAAAAGAGUGGGAUGACCUUCAAGUAGGGGUGAUAGACCUAACGAGCUUAGUGAUAGCUGGUUACUCAAGAAAAGGAUCUUAGUCCAACCUAAAGCCCCCCGAAUUCAUAAAAAUCUUCUUUUGCGGCUUUAGAGCAAUUCAAAUAAGGUACAGCCUAUUUGAAACAGGGUACAACCUCAGCGGAAGGGUAAUAAAUUUUUUAAUACAACCAAGUAGGCCUAAGAGCAGCCAUCUUCUUAAUAGCGUCAAAGCUUAUUUGUUAUACUUAGCUAAUUCCUUAAAAUCUCUUCAACCCUCUAAUGAUAUUGAGUAAUUCUAUUUACCUUAUAGAACUUAUAAUGUUAAAACUAGUAACAAGAACUAAACCUUCUCCUAAAUGUAAGUGUAAAUCAGAAAGGAUAACCCACUGACAAUUAACGCCUAUGAGCCUAUAUUAGCAACUCCGCAAGAAAACCCUAAUGUUUAUUACGUUAACCUAACACAAGAACAUUUCAAGAAAGAUUAAAAGAAAAAGAAGGAACUCGGCAAAUCAUUAACCCCGCCUGUUUACCAAAAACAUCGCCUCUUGAACAAAAUAAGAGGUCCAGCCUGCCCAGUGACAUCAGUUCAACGGCCGCGGUAUCCUAACCGUGCGAAGGUAGCGUAAUCACUUGUUCUUUAAAUGAGGACUAGUAUGAAUGGCAUCACGAAGGUUAUACUGUCUCCUCUUUCUAAUCAGUGAAACUAAUCUCCCCGUGAAGAAGCGGGGAUGUGUAUAUAAGACGAGAAGACCCUAUGGAGCUUUAAAUUUUUAUUACAACUGCCACACCAGUAAAAAGUUCCGACUACUCAUAACUAACCCGGCACCAUGAUAAUAUAUUUUAGGUUGGGGUGACCGCGGAGAAUAAAAAAACCUCCUCAUUGAAGAAGGCUUCCUAGCCUUGAACUAAGAGCUACAACUCUAUGCACUAAAUCAUUAACAUCCAUUGACCCAAUUUCUUGAUCAACGAACCAAGUUACCCUAGGGAUAACAGCGCAAUCCACUUUAAGAGCUCCUAUCGACAAGCGGGUUUACGACCUCGAUGUUGGAUCAGGGUAUCCCAGUGGUGCAGCCGCUACUAAAGGUUCGUUUGUUCAACGAUUAAAACCCU
Molecule: ribosomal RNA, 1432 nt
Filed under: Scinax cardosoi
Lineage: Eukaryota; Metazoa; Chordata; Amphibia; Anura; Hylidae
Description: partial 16S large subunit ribosomal RNA
Rfam family: Bacterial large subunit ribosomal RNA
Source: RNAcentral